CCAUGAGCUCUAACACAGAAUAACAGCUUGAAAUUUACAGAAUCAGAGUUUGAAAUCUAGGAUUUCACUUACCGAAUUAGAAAAUGAAUAUGAGAGAGAGAGAUUGGAUGGCAUAGCCACAUAUAUAAUAUAAUAUAUGAUGUGGGUGACAAUAAAUUUGCAGUCAAGAACAUCCUAUAAAUUCAGAGCUUGAGAAGCAGAGGUCACGGCUUGGAUCUGCAUCUUCAGUGACAUAUUUGUGUGACUCCCCUCUAUCUUAAAAAUCAAACCCAAAAUGGAAGGAAAAGAAACUAUUGUACCCUCUGUUUAUUUUGCUCUGCUUUUUUAGUUGCUCACUCAACCAGUACAAGAAUGGGUAAAAAUUGG
Molecule: long non-coding RNA, 366 nt
Filed under: Panax ginseng (ginseng)
Lineage: Eukaryota; Viridiplantae; Streptophyta; Magnoliopsida; Apiales; Araliaceae
Description: long non-coding RNA (PGIN_LNC010782)
Source: RNAcentral